GUGCAUCUCUGACAGACCUGGAACAGUUAAUGUCUGCUGCUAAGGUUUCCACUACAGAAGCAAGAAAAAGAAGGUCCUCACGCUUUCUGUCUGGUUGUGGCAGCCAAAAUUGAAUGAGGGAAUACAGGA
Molecule: small nucleolar RNA, 129 nt
Filed under: Dasypus novemcinctus (nine-banded armadillo)
Lineage: Eukaryota; Metazoa; Chordata; Mammalia; Cingulata; Dasypodidae
Description: Small nucleolar RNA SNORA31 (ENSDNOG00000037046.1)
Rfam family: Small nucleolar RNA SNORA31
About the family: ACA31 (SNORA31) belongs to the H/ACA class of snoRNAs which are thought to guide the sites of modification of uridines to pseudouridines.
Source: RNAcentral